This 298-nucleotide signal recognition particle RNA is filed under the name Microcebus murinus (gray mouse lemur). RNAcentral describes it as "Metazoan signal recognition particle RNA (ENSMICG00000031269.2)". It matches the Rfam family "Metazoan signal recognition particle RNA". From Rfam's summary of the family: The signal recognition particle (SRP) is a universally conserved ribonucleoprotein. It is involved in the co-translational targeting of proteins to membranes. The eukaryotic SRP consists of a 300-nucleotide 7S RNA and six proteins: SRPs 72, 68, 54, 19, 14, and 9. Lineage: Eukaryota; Metazoa; Chordata; Mammalia; Primates; Cheirogaleidae. The record is from RNAcentral.
GCUGGAGGCAGUGGCGCAUGCCUGUAGUCCCAGCUACUUGGGAGGCUGAGGUGAGAGAAUUGCUUGAGACCAGGAAUUCUGGGCUGUAAUGCACUAUGCCCGUGAGGUGUCCGCACAAAGUUCUGCAUCAAUAUGGUGACCUCCCAGGAGCCGGGAACCACCAGGUUGCCUAAGGAGGAGUGAACCAGCACAGGCAGAAACAGAGCAGGUCAAAACUCCCAUGCUGAUCAGUGGUGGGAUCACGUCCAUGGAUAGCCACUGCACUCCAGCCUGGGCAACAUAGCAAGAACCCGUCUCU